This 665-nucleotide ribosomal RNA is filed under the name Priestia aryabhattai. Its description in RNAcentral is "bacterial SSU rRNA". It matches the Rfam family "Bacterial small subunit ribosomal RNA", at positions 56 to 705 of the family's 1533-position model. Lineage: Bacteria; Bacillati; Bacillota; Bacilli; Caryophanales; Bacillaceae. The record is from RNAcentral.
UGCAGUCGAGCGAAUGAAGAGGAGCUUGCUCCUCUGAUUUAGCGGCGGACGGGUGAGUAACACGUGGGUAAUCUGCCUGUAAGACGGGGAUAACUCCGGGAAACCGGGGCUAAUACCGGAUAAUAAGAGAAGAAGCAUUUCUUCUUUUUGAAAGUCGGUUUCGGCUGACACUUACAGAUGAGCCCGCGGCGCAUUAGCUAGUUGGUGAGGUAACGGCUCACCAAGGCGACGAUGCGUAGCCGACCUGAGAGGGUGAUCGGCCACACUGGGACUGAGACACGGCCCAGACUCCUACGGGAGGCAGCAGUAGGGAAUCUUCGGCAAUGGGCGAAAGCCUGACCGAGCAACGCCGCGUGAGCGAUGAAGGCCUUCGGGUCGUAAAGCUCUGUUGUUAGAGAAGAACAAGUACGAGAGUAACUGCUCGUACCUUGACGGUACCUAACCAGAAAGCCACGGCUAACUACGUGCCAGCAGCCGCGGUAAUACGUAGGUGGCAAGCGUUAUCCGGAAUUAUUGGGCGUAAAGCGCGCGCAGGCGGUCUCUUAAGUCUGAUGUGAAAGCCCACGGCUCAACCGUGGAGGGUCAUUGGAAACUGGGAGACUUGAGUGCAGGAGAGAAAAGUGGAAUUCCACGUGUAGCGGUGAAAUGCGUAGAGAUGUGGAGGA